RNAcentral lists this long non-coding RNA (1830 nucleotides) under Mus musculus (house mouse). Its description in RNAcentral is "long non-coding RNA chr7:25670444-25672274". The record is from RNAcentral. Lineage: Eukaryota; Metazoa; Chordata; Mammalia; Rodentia; Muridae.
GUCUUAAGCCAGCACCCUCCCAGUCCCAAACACAGACUAACCUUGUGGGCCAGACAGAAGGCAGCGAUGCCCACAGGCCAAAAACAACACAGCACAGAGAAUACCGCCAGGCCGAGGUGGUCAUGGGGAAGAAGUGGAGAGAGCCGGUCGCCCCCAUCAUCAUCUGAGUCACUGUCACUGGAUAAUGUGUCCUGCAGAUAGGAGAGAGCACAGGUGGUGGUCCUCACCCACCUCCCCAUCGCCCCCGUAGACCAGUGCUUCCCUGGGGCCUUCCCAGAGACUUUUCUGUCCCCUAGAUCCCUUGAAGGGGCGACAGUGGCCUGACUGAGGGUCUCCAGAGAGACCCACCCCCAGGUGAGUUCAUUCUCAAGGGUCCAACUAUGGGAAGAUUGCUCAUAAUCCCUGAGUGAAGACAUCUGCAGUGGGGGCAGGCUUUGCCUUGGGAUGAGAACCUGUAAAGAGUUAAAAGUGCUCCCGUGGUCUGAAUUGUUAGGACAAACCUGCCUGCCAAAAAUGGUUUUAAAGGCAAGUGUGUUUCUAAUCCCAGCAUUCGGGAUGUAGAGGCAGGAAGAUGAGGAGGCUUGCCUGGGUUACAUGAGACCUGUCUGGAGAAAAAAAAUAAUCUAUCACUGAUGUCUCCAGGCAGCUCUGUCAGGAGCAAAAGCUCUGUCAGGAGCAAACCAGAUCCUCUCUGGAUCCUCUAGACCUUCAUGCUAGGUCUCCAAAGAACUGAUCUUUUAAAGUAUUUUUUUCAAACAAAAUGACCAGAUACACAGUCAAAUACACUAGACACAAGUGUCAAACAGGACUCAGAGGUGCAAUACAGAGCAGUCAGAGGCAGUAACACGAUGCUUACUACCCGAAGCAGGCUGUUCUCAACCCCGCGGAUGGACUCGUUUUGAUUGUAAACAUGGUCUUUCUUUGUAGCCCCCGGCUGUUCUUUAAGGCUCUGUGCAGCGUAGUCCAGCUGUCUGAAACCAUUCCCCUGCUUCAGCUUCCUGGGUGUCAGGAUUAUGGGCACAUACUAAGCCUGGUUCCUAAAGACAAAAUCUCUACUAUGUAGUCCUGGCUGUUCUAGAACUCAUUAUGUAGACUGGGCUGGCCUUAAACUCAACAGAGAUCUGCCUACCUCUCUUGGAGUUCUGGGAUUAGAGGUAUGCGCCAAAACCUUUGCUUCAAAUACUCUUUUGAUGUAACUCAGAUGUUUCUCCCCUUGAAUCUGGGCAGGUUUCCAAAUCACUUGACAGAAUAUGAUAAAGUCACUUUACAAGGUUUUUAAAGAAAAGGUGACAAAAAGUCUGGUCCAGAGGACUGAAAUUACAAGUCCUGCCAGGACUAUAGUGAGUUCCAAGUCAGCCUGGGCAAUUCAACAAGACCCUGCCUAAAGUAAAACGGGAAAACCAGGGUGCUGGCACCUGCCUCUUAGCCCAACUCUCGGGAGGUGGAAGCAGGAGGGACAGAAGUUCAUGGUCAUCUUCAAUUACAUGAUGAGUUUGAGGCUAGCCUGGGCUACAUGAAACCAUCUCACAAAAGAGACAAACCAGGUGGAGUGGCAUAGGCCUGUAUUUCCAGCUACUUGGGGCUUGGGAAAAAAGAUGAGUGUGAGCUGAGAAGUUCAGGCUGGCAUGAAUAUCAGACACCGUGUCAAAAGAAGAUAAAUGUCAAAAUGUAAAAAUGAUGUUUCACAAUAUGAGGAAGGAAUAUGACAUAAAAAUGACUUUACUACAGGCAGUGGUGGCACACACUUUUAAUCACAGCACUCAGGAGGCAGAGGCAAGUGGGUCUCUUGAGUCCCAGGACAGCCUGAUCUACACAGAAAAAUCCCAUCUC